UGGGUUGUGGCUCAGUGGUACAGCACCCGCCUUGCAAGUGAGAGGUCCUGGGUUUGAUCCACAGCACUACAU
Molecule: transfer RNA, 72 nt
Filed under: Ictidomys tridecemlineatus (thirteen-lined ground squirrel)
Lineage: Eukaryota; Metazoa; Chordata; Mammalia; Rodentia; Sciuridae
Description: Spermophilus tridecemlineatus (thirteen-lined ground squirrel) tRNA
Rfam family: tRNA
About the family: Transfer RNA (tRNA) molecules are approximately 80 nucleotides in length.
Source: Rfam by way of RNAcentral